Molecule: ribosomal RNA, 253 nt
Filed under: uncultured bacterium
Lineage: Bacteria
Description: partial 16S ribosomal RNA
Rfam family: Bacterial small subunit ribosomal RNA
Source: RNAcentral
UACGUAGGGGGCAAGCGUUGUCCGGAUUCAUUGGGCGUAAAGAGCGUGUAGGCGGCCAGGUAGGUCGGUUGUGAAAACUGGAGGCUCAACCUUCAGAGGUCGACCGAAACCAUCUGGCUAGAGUCCGGGAGAGGAGAGUGGAAUUCCUGGUGUAGCGGUGAAAUGCGCAGAUAUCAGGAGGAACACCGGCGGCGAAGGCGGUUCUCUGGGCAUUACCUGACGCUGAGGAGCGAAAGUGUGGGGAGCGAACAGG